AUGAACGCUGGCGGCGUGCCUAAUACAUGCAAGUCGAGCGAACGGACGAGAAGCUUGCUUCUCUGAUGUUAGCGGCGGACGGGUGAGUAACACGUGGAUAACCUACCUAUAAGACUGGGAUAACUUCGGGAAACCGGAGCUAAUACCGGAUAAUAUUUUGAACCGCAUGGUUCAAAAGUGAAAGACGGUCUUGCUGUCACUUAUAGAUGGAUCCGCGCUGCAUUAGCUAGUUGGUAAGGUAACGGCUUACCAAGGCAACGAUGCAUAGCCGACCUGAGAGGGUGAUCGCCCACACUGGAACUGAGACACGGUCCAGACUCCUACGGGAGGCAGCAGUAGGGAAUCUUCCGCAAUGGGCGAAAGCCUGACGGAGCAACGCCGCGUGAGUGAUGAAGGUCUUCGGAUCGUAAAACUCUGUUAUUAGGGAAGAACAUAUGUGUAAGUAACUGUGCACAUCUUGACGGUACCUAAUCAGAAAGCCACGGCUAACUACGUG
This 496-nucleotide ribosomal RNA is filed under the name uncultured bacterium. Its description in RNAcentral is "partial 16S ribosomal RNA". It matches the Rfam family "Bacterial small subunit ribosomal RNA", at positions 29 to 507 of the family's 1533-position model. The record is from RNAcentral.